CAAUAGCGUAUAUUAAUGUUGUUGCAGUUAAAAAGCUCGUAGUUGGAUUUCUGCGUCGCGCAGCUCGGUCCGCCGCAAUGCGGUGCGACUGUGGCUGGAGCGUCGCAUCCUUGUGGAGACCUUUGAUGCCAUUGAUUUGGUGUUGAAUGGGAACCGCAUCGUUUACUGUGAAAAAAUUAGAGUGUUCAAAGCAGGCAUAAGCCGUGAAUACAUUAGCAUGGAAUAAUAAGAUAGGACUUUGGUUCUAUUUUGUUGGUCGGAGGCCAAGGUAAUGAUUAAUAGGGAUAGUUGGGGGUAUUCAUAUUUAAUUGUCAGAGGUGAAAUUCUUGGAUUUAUGAAAGAUGAACUUAUGCGAAAGCAUUUACCAAGGAUGUUUUCAUUAA
RNAcentral lists this ribosomal RNA (383 nucleotides) under uncultured eukaryote. RNAcentral describes it as "partial 18S ribosomal RNA". It matches the Rfam family "Eukaryotic small subunit ribosomal RNA", at positions 592 to 976 of the family's 1831-position model. The record is from RNAcentral.